ACACGCAUGGUGAAACGGUAUCAUGCUUGCCUUCCAUCACGAAGAGUUGAGGCAUCUCAGCAAGCGGCAGGGGUUCGACUCCCCUUGCGUGUA
Molecule: non-coding RNA, 93 nt
Organism: Roridomyces roridus
Lineage: Eukaryota; Fungi; Basidiomycota; Agaricomycetes; Agaricales; Mycenaceae
Source: the annotation of a GenBank genome assembly